This is a long non-coding RNA of Mesocricetus auratus (golden hamster), 735 nucleotides long. RefSeq lists it as uncharacterized. Lineage: Eukaryota; Metazoa; Chordata; Mammalia; Rodentia; Cricetidae. The record is from RefSeq and is a predicted model, not a curated record. The transcript has 4 exons.
AUGACAGACAACGGAAUAUUCUCAAAACAUCUCCAUAUCGUAAUUCUAAUUCCAGAGAAUCCUGUCUAAUAGGCAGAAGUAGUAGCAAUGUAUCUUGAAUAAGCUAGUUCCUAACAUGGCAGCAUAUACCUUCCAUGCUUUGGAAAUAGAGGGGUAGACUCGUCUCUUCUCCCAGGGUUCUCAUAACCCAGAGGCAGAACUGCUACAGCUGCUGAGAGUGACUGUGUGGGAAGCAACUUGCUGAUUUCCUGACUUGCUGAAGUGUCAAGCUGAGGUCAAUACGAAACUAUAAUUUGGACAUAAAGGAUCUCCUUAAGUUUUAUUGAAGACAUGAAAACUGAGAAGUUCCCAGCCAGUCUCUUUCUCCAGGCGAGUUCAUAAGAGAAGAGCUGUGAGAGGCACCUCAAUGACUUCCAUUUGAAGGGAAAGAAGAAGCUUGACGGCUCCCUUGGUUCUCGGGACUGAUGAGGAAGGGUCCUCCCACUGUCCUAGUACUUUUAAUAAGUACUUCCUGGAGCACAGCCCUUUCCCUUUCCUCUCCUGCUCUUUCUUGUAGGCAAUGUGAGGAGGGUGAGAAGAAACUAAAGCACUGAACCCUGUGGCCGAAACACACAACUCUAUAAACCGAAACCAAGAUCAGAAACCAGACUAAGCUUGAGGAAGGCAACCUUGAUACCUAGAAUUUUGUUUCUCUGAGCUUUAUUUGUAAAUGGGAAGAAUAAUAAAUUUAAAGCC